ACAUGAAAUUUUAAUCUGAAGGAAACAAAUCAAGACCAACUUUUAAAUGUAAACAAACAAUAUUCAUUAAAUGGUGUUUGAUGUCAGUAACUUCCUAGCUCAAGAUGCUGACUUGGGAAAGGUAACAUAUUUUUAAAUGAUUUUGAAGACAGAAUCAUUUGAUUCUACCAAAUAUGAGUUAUGCUCAUAAAUAUGUUUAUUUGAAUUUAUUGCACUGUACUCUAACAAAGGCAACUGCACAUGGACAGCAGGAAAACAAAAUUGUAAAUUGUUAAAUAAACCACAAGUGCAAGCAGAGCAUCAUCUGCUGACUAGUAGAAAUGAAGCCAAUUAAAAUUCUGCUGAUUUUCACAGGAAUAUCGUCUCAUGUGACUGAACCCAUAGAACAUUUUUAAAUGCAAAUAUUCAUAAUACAUAUAUUAGAAUACACAGUGAAAUCCUCAGCAUACAGUCCUACUAACAUGGAUAUUACAGUUUAAAAUAACUGGCCGAUUUCAUCAGAGAACAUCCCUGUGUAAGGAAGAGAUCCUGGUGGCAUAAGACGGACAGAAUGGCACUACACCAUCCCCACCCUUUAGCAGCCCCAGCACAAGAAGACUAAAUUCUGGACCUGAACUCAACACCUCUGCAAGGUCCAGCGAUGCCUGGUUGAAAGCUUGAUCCAGCAAGGUGCUGAGCAUUGUGCACCCAACUCAGCAAAGCACAUGCUUACCUUUAAUCAUGUGUGUAAUCUGAUGUCAUGGGUACUAUUUGCAUGCUAAGUGCUUUGCUGGAUCCGCUGUACAGUGUUCAGGUCCUUGCAUGAGCAAGCCCAAGAAGAGCCCACAGGCUGCCAAGCCAGCUUAAUAGACAGCUAAAGCUUUAUUCUGCAUACAGGAAAACAAAAUCGGUAAGCAACAUGAUAACUUAAUAUUCUUCCAAGUUCCUCUAAAUGUAAAACUUAGUUAAUAGCAAAAGAAAUUUACAUAGAAAAUAUCUAAACCUUAUCAAAAUUUGCAUUUGUUCUAACCACACAUUUGAGCUACUGUAUGUCAUGUCAAGUUUUGUCAGCUGCACAUCAUCAGAUAACCUACUCAUUUCCAGAAUAGAGAUGUGACCAAGUUUCAAAACAAAGGCUUCUCUGAACAACAGGCAUUAGCUGCUGACUCAAAUAGAGCAAGAAUUUGAGUGUCCCCAGCAAAGAUUGCUCACACACAAAAAGUUCCAAAACCUGUUUUAAAAAUUGCCAAAAAUUAUUAUUUUGGGGUUAUUUAAAAGUACAAAAAAGACAAUCUUUAUAAAAUGCAUUUCUCUAAUCAGAAUUCUGCAAAAAAGGUAUCAUAUUUUAAAAUGCUAUGUCAUAUGGUGACAAAUCUUGUCAGGUGAUAUCUGUCAUGCGAAUGCAAAGAGUUUUUACAGAGCACCAAAAUUCACUGAGCUUGCUUUUCAUGUUCUCUUUCAUAACAUCUUCUGUUACUUGUUUUUAUUAAAAGUAAAAAUUCCCAGUUAACUGUCCAUUGUUCUUUCUCUCUCUCACACACACACAUAAGGAACCAUGGAAGGUGUAACAUCAAGGGCUGUCUGGGAUUUUACAAUCAUUGCUAUCCUGCACACCAUGGACACACAGAAAAUCAGAACUGACAUUUUAAAAUGUGUAUAUUUCUUAUUAGAUACUUUGCUCCAAAUACACUGAUGCCUUGAGCAGAGAGGAAGAGAAAAGUCUCUUUUAGCUGCAACACUAUUAUGGCUUAUGAUAUUCACACUUGAACAGGUCUGACAUUCAAUUUAGUAAGAGUAUAGUGGUACAACUACAGUAGCCAUUUUUAAAACCCUGUUGAUAUUCCCUCACCAAAGAGACAGUGUUACCUCAGUAUUUCGCAAUAUUCUCUGUACUCUUCUGAUAGACUAUAGGAAAUACCUUGAUCACUGUAAAACAAAGUGGUCACAUCAUUACAUUAACUAAGACAAUCGGGAAGCUUUUAAGGAUGACCUAUGUACACACAACCCAGGACAUUACAACAGAUGUAUCAUCAUCAUCACAGCAAAUCCUAAAGGAAAAUAGCCUCCUUACAGAUCAAGUGCCACUUGGAUCACUCUCUGGUUAGGUCCUUAAGGUGGUCUGGCUGGAUAUUCAGUUUAUGUCCAUUCAGUUUAUGAUCUUCUUGUACCACCAAAGCUUUUGGUGACCACAAGAUCACUGGCUGUGUAGCAACAUUCCUUGGCAAACAAACUUCAUAAUUCUUUGGUCUUCCAUCCUAAUGAUAUGUCUGUACCAAGAAAGGUGCCAAAAUCCAUCCACUCCUGAUGGAGGCAAUUGCUAGGUCUGGCUAUGAAUAAUCUUCAGUGUUGAUCUUGUCCUGCUACUUAACAUGUAACAGCUGACAAAGAUGAUGAGAAUCAAAAACAUCAAUCUGCCACUCUUUGGCCUUCAUUGUCUUUCACUGCCAUACAGCAGAGAUAAUAUAACAGUGGUAUGUAGCAAGUUUGAUGUCACAAUAUCCCCACAAAGUCACCAAAACAUGGCACAGCUGCUGCUUUGUGAAUGUCCACAUCUUUCAAGGAUCUUCCAGCACAAUCAAUCACACUUCCAAGUAUCUGACAGUUGCCACCUGCUUGAUGUCUCAUCCAGACAGGUUAAUACUAAACUGGUUGUAAUCUGGAGCUGGAGGCUGCGUGAUGGUAGUGCCAAAUGACUCAAUUUUGUUCAGAUUAAUAACCAGACCAAUGCACGCUGCUUCUGGCAUGACCCGAUCAGCCAUCAGCUGGAGACUGAGACAACAAGACAAUAUCAUUGAUGUAUCUGAGAUCUCACAGCAGAAGGUGUCCAGUUCAAUGCCACCAAGAGCUGUCUCCUCAAGCUUAUCCAUCAUCUAAUCAAUACAGAUAUUGAACAAUGAUGGUAACAGAACUCAGCUUGCUGUAUUCCCACAGAAACAGGAAAUCAUGUUGCAUAUCUGCCAUUGACUCAAACACAGCUUUCCAUUCCAUGAUAGAACUCUUCUAUCAAUGACACUCUCUUCCCAGGGGCACCAAGUAUCUUGUCAGAUCCCUACAAACUUGCUCAAUGCACUAAAUCAAAGGCCUGAUGGGAGACUAUAAGAAGUACUGUAUACAGAAGUGUAGAGGAAACAUGAUAUCAAGUAUGACAAAGUUCUGUUGGCAAAUAUGUCAAUGAGAACCAGUGGUAUGAAAAAUCUUACUGUGAAACACCUUGUGUAUGUGUGUAUCACAACUGGGGCUGUCAUUACAUGCUGAUAUAACUCUACCCAAUGUAAUAUAUUGGAAAAGAGACAACUAAGGGGGGAAAUGAUUGAGGUCUAUAAAAUCAUGACUGUUGUGAAGAAAGUAAACAAGGAAGCGUUAUUUACUCCUUCUCAUAACACAAGAACUGGGGGUCACCAAAUGAAAUUAAUAGGCAGCAGGUUUAAAACAAACAAAAGGAAGUAUUUUUUCACACAAUGCACAGUCAACCUGUGGAAAUCCUUGCCAGAGGAUGUUAUGAAGGCCAAGACUAUAACAGGGUUCAAAAAAGAACUAGAUAAGUUCAUGGAGGAUAGGUCCUUCAACGGCUAUUAGCCAAGAUGGGCAGGGAUGCUGUCCCUAGCUUCUGUUUGCCAGAAGCUGGGAAUGGGUGAUAGGGGAUGGAUCCGUUGAUGAUUACCUAUUCUGUUCAUUCUGUCUGGGGCACCUGGCCUUGGCCACUGUCAGAAGACAGGAUACUGGGCUAUAUGGACCUUUGGUCUGACCCAGUAUGGCCGUUCUUAUGUUCUUAAUAUACUGUUCAGAUAAUAAAAUGUGGUAUGAUAUAAUUAUUUCAUACAGUUGUGAGUGGAAAUUUUCAAAUGAACAAAGGAAAAGUUUGGUACCUAGCUCCCACUGAAACCCGAUGGAUUGGGCACCUAGCUAACUCAAAUUUUUGCCUUUGAAAAUCCACUCCCAGAAUGCAUCAUCACAUUUUUGAGGAAAACUGGAAUACCUGACAAGAAUAGCCUGGGACCCAGUCUUCUCAGAGAUUGCCUCUUCUCCUAGUUCCUGCUACAAAAGCGAUGUGCCAUGCUGUGUGUGUUCAAAGUGCCAUGCAUUAAUCAAAUAUUAAUAAUGAAUUAACCAACAGGUGCCAAAACACCACAAUGAUUACUUCAUCAAGGACUUCUCUCCAUCUGCCUUUCUGGGAAAGUUUUAAUCAAACUGAUCAACUUCCCCCAGUACUGUCUCUCGUAACAGGCUAACUCAUAAUGAAGAGCUAACAGAUGUAAUGUGGCAGUUCCACAGUCAGAAAAUGAAUGUGUUAAAACUUUUUAUUUUUAAUUAUAGCUUUCAGGAUACCACAAAAACUGAAGAAAAAAGAAUCAGUGUUUUUCUUGCUUCUUAUAUCACACAUGGAGUCUCAAAGUGAGACUUAAAAGAAAGAAAAAUUGCAAAUAUUAAAUGUGUGCAUCCAUUCUCUAAAGCCGCUUGUAAUUCAGAUAUUUUCCAAUCCCUGAAACUACAGGCAGUUCCCAUUAGGUCUUGAGACAGAUGGUAGCAUGAAGAGGCAGGUAACAUAAGAUAAACAGCCAUAACAGUCAGAACGCCACCUUGCAGCUUUGAAGACUCUUGCCACCCCAGCUCUUCUCAUCAGUCACCUUGAGAAAAAGCAACAGUUAAAAUAUUUCUCUAGUUAAUGAGAAAACUCUGCAGUGUUUCCAGAGGUCCCUUCUGAAUGAUCCAGUCCCUGCAUUUUAAUUUAGGUUUACAAGUUUCAGGUUUUAACAGAAUGAACUAUGCAUAACAACACACUUCAUAAUACGAAAUUGAAAGCCCUUGAUACACUUGGUCUACUGAAGAUUUUAAUUCUAAAUCCGGAACAAAUAAAACCAAGUAAACACAGCAGGGCUUUAACCUCACUCUUCUAACAUGCAAUAAUCUUAUUUGGGAAUGGGUUUUAGCACAGAUAUGGGAGAAGUUGUAACAACAAAAUACAUAAACUCUGACAGGAAAAGGAAGGUAUUUACAUUUCAUUUUUCCAUGUUUGUAAUUAAACAAUCCUUUUACAAUUAACUGUGAUUAUCAUCUAAUCUACAGAAGACUCUUUCCAUUACUGCAUAUAAACAGGGUUUUCACAUUCCUUUGAAAACACUUAUUGGAGUGUUAAUUUGAAAAUAAUGGGCCAUAUUUUAAGGAGCAGACUGUAGCUCCUGCAUAGCCAUUAGGAGCUCAUCAAUGGACAAAUUUUUGAGCCAGGAAAAUCUACUGUCCCAGUUUGACAUCUGGAUCCUAGUCAUAGUCUGAAGAGAACAAGAGACACUGCUGGGGGAAGGGGGGGGGAUUCUGCGUGACUAGGCACCUGCAGAAAAUGGCUGCCCCGCAGAUUUCCUGUUUCCCUGCAGAAAAUGGCAGGGAAGCCCCACGGGGGGGAAUGCAGGGGUAGACCAUGGGCGCAGUUUGGGGGGGCAUUGCCCCCCUCCAAACAGAGGCGAGGCAUGGGGGGAUACACGGGAUUACAUGCCACUGCCCCCUCCCCCCAUUCUGCAAGUGCAGACCUGCCCAGCUGAAGGAGGCUGUGUCUGGGCUCCGCUGACUGCAGCUGAACACCAGCUCCUGGGUCCUAGUGCCAGUCGGGCUCCCCUUCUGUGUGCAGGGAGCCUUCCUGUCUUCUGUUCCGUGCAACAGAAAAUAACAAUACAAAAAGGGAGAGGAAUGGGGAGACUAGAGCAGAAUGAAGGUGAAGAAAUGUAGCCACCCAAAUAGACAGAGGGAGAAGAAAAGAGAAAAAGGCACAGAAAUCAAUCACAUUUGACAUCCCUGCUUCCAGCGCAUAAUGGAACUGCUACCAACACACUUUGAAAAGAUACAAUUUCUGCUGUAGAGGUUCUCCCCCUCCUCCUCCUCCUUCUUCUCCCCCCUCCACCCCCUUCCCAAGGCUGAAUUAUGUAUAAAAUAUUUAUGGUUACUCCUGUUGUAGUAAAACUGUUCUCAUUGCAGUUUCCCUGCUAAGUAAAAUUGCAUUGUAAAAGGAUGUGUCUGUAAUUCUGAAGUUUCUGGUAGUUUGUGAUGCAAAUCAUCUUUUUCAGUUAGUGAAGACUGUAAGAAUAAAAGCACCAGCCAAUUCUGAG
Dermochelys coriacea (leatherback sea turtle) is the source of this 6074-nucleotide long non-coding RNA. RefSeq lists it as uncharacterized. The transcript is spliced from 3 exons. The record is from RefSeq and is a predicted model, not a curated record. NCBI's taxonomy places the organism in Eukaryota, Metazoa, Chordata, Testudines, Dermochelyidae.